AUUGAACGCUGGCGGAAUGCUUUACACAUGCAAGUCGAACGGCAGCACGGACUUCGGUCUGGUGGCGAGUGGCGAACGGGUGAGUAAUACAUCGGAACGUGCCCAGUCGUGGGGGAUAACGUAGCGAAAGCUACGCUAAUACCGCAUACGAUCUAAGGAUGAAAGCGGGGGAUCGCAAGACCUCGCGCGAUUGGAGCGGCCGAUGGCAGAUUAGGUAGUUGGUAGGGUAAAGGCCUACCAAGCCGACGAUCUGUAGCUGGUCUGAGAGGAUGAUCAGCAACACUGGGACUGAGACACGGCCCAGACUCCUACGGGAGGCAGCAGUGGGGAAUUUUGGACAAUGGACGAAAGCCUGAUCCAGCAAUGCCGCGUGUGUGAAGAAGGCCUUCGGGUUGUAAAGCACUUUUGUCCGGAAAGAAAUGGCUCUGGUUAAUACCUGGGGUCGAUGACGGUACCGGAAGAAUAAGGACCGGCUAACUACGUGCCAGCCGCCGCCGUAA
RNAcentral lists this ribosomal RNA (500 nucleotides) under uncultured bacterium. RNAcentral's name for it is "partial 16S ribosomal RNA". It matches the Rfam family "Bacterial small subunit ribosomal RNA", at positions 30 to 523 of the family's 1533-position model. The record is from RNAcentral.